RNAcentral lists this unclassified non-coding RNA (329 nucleotides) under soil metagenome. Its description in RNAcentral is "partial contains 5.8S ribosomal RNA, internal transcribed spacer 2, and large subunit ribosomal RNA". The stretch from base 1 to 120 matches the Rfam family "5.8S ribosomal RNA", at positions 35 to 154 of the family's 154-position model. The record is from RNAcentral.
GAUGAAGAACGCAGUGAAAUGCGAUAAGUAAUGUGAAUUGCAGAAUUCAGUGAAUCAUCGAAUCUUUGAACGCACAUUGCGCCCCUUGGUAUUCCGGGGGGCAUGCCUGUUCGAGCGCCAUUUCAACCCUCAAGCUUCUGCUUGGUCUUGGGCCGUGCCGGCAACGGCUGGCCUUAAAACUAGUGGCGGUGCCAUCGAGCUCUACGCGUAGUAAUUCUAUCUCGCGUCUGGGCUUCGGUGGACGCUGGCCAGCAACCCCCAAUUUUCUAUGGUUGACCUCGGAUCAGGUAGGGAUACCCGCUGAACUUAAGCAUAUCAUAAGCGGAGGA